This 104-nucleotide small nuclear RNA is filed under the name Solanum tuberosum (potato). Lineage: Eukaryota; Viridiplantae; Streptophyta; Magnoliopsida; Solanales; Solanaceae. The record is from RNAcentral.
AUUCCUUUUAGGGACAUCCGAUAAAAUUGGAACGAUAUAGAGAAGAUUAGCAUGGCCACUGCGCAAAGAUGACAUGCACAAAUCGAGAAAUGGUCCAAAUUUUA